GGAAGGGACACCUUCCACUAGACCAGGUUGCUCCAAGCCCCCUCCAGCCUGGCCUUGAACACUUCUGGGGAUGGGGCUAAUUUGGUUCCUGCUGGUUUAUCUGGAAUAAGGUCGGACAAGAGGCCUUCACACAUGUAACAAAGGCUGAUCCCAGGUGACCUGAGUGCUGGAACCUGUCAACAUCUUAUGACAAAUAUAACCAGUCUCAUAACCAUGAAAUACUCCUGCUCCACCACCUCCAGAUUUGAAGCCUUAAGAUGUACCCAGAGCUUCUUCCAGGCUUUCUGUAUCAGAGUCAGCUGAAACAUGGCAAAGAUUUUGUACGAGUUGUUUAAUAAACCAGACAGGUCAGAGCUGCUCCCCUGAAGUCCUCAGACAUGGCUGCUGGUGUGUUCAUGGCCACUGUGCAGAGCAUCUACUGAGGACUGAGAGCAAAUACAACACAGCAUGAGAUUUUGGGCAAGACAGAUGGUUCAGGCAUGAUUUCCUGCAAAUCUUACUUACCUUUGGCACAGCCAGGUUUGUCAGAUAAUGGCAGUGACCAUUAGUUGAAUCUUCAAUUUAGUGCUUUGACCAGCAGGUACUUUCCGACUGAGAUUAUUUGCAUGGAAUAACACAAAGCUCCAUCAGCAGAGCGGCUCUCCUGGAAAAUAAUGACAUCUUCAGCUGUGCGGGAGCCAGGACAAAGCCCACUCCCGGCUUGUAAUCCACUGGAAGCCACUCAGUAGCACUUGAGCAAGGUCUAAGGGGGCAGGGCUGUGUGCCAGGCCUCUCCCUUGCAGCCAAGGUGUUAUGCAUUAUUUAACAAAAGGUGUCAGGCUGGCUUUUUGCACUGGCUGAAAGCGAAAUCACAGCCAUUUGAAGCAGGCUCUUUAGAAACUAAAAUUAUCUUCACAUCAUAUUUCUUCUCCAGUAAUGCCAGCAUUACAUUUUUUCAAAUUCUGA
Molecule: long non-coding RNA, 945 nt
Organism: Corapipo altera (White-ruffed manakin)
Lineage: Eukaryota; Metazoa; Chordata; Aves; Passeriformes; Pipridae
Exons: 3
Source: RefSeq, a predicted model, not a curated record